UGAGGAACAUGACUUUCGCGGGGGAUAGCCGGCCCAACGGCCGGGUAAUACCGCGUACGACCUUUUGGGGACAUCCCUGAUUGGUGAAAGCAGCAAUGCGCCGAAAGAGUGCCUCGCGGCCUAUCAGCUUGUUGGUGGGGUAAUGGCCCACCAAGGCUUCGACGGGUAGCCGGCCUGAGAGGGUGACCGGCCACACUGGGACUGAGACACGGCCCAGACUCCUACGGGAGGCAG
This 234-nucleotide ribosomal RNA is filed under the name uncultured bacterium. Its description in RNAcentral is "partial 16S ribosomal RNA". It matches the Rfam family "Bacterial small subunit ribosomal RNA", at positions 118 to 351 of the family's 1533-position model. The record is from RNAcentral.